Molecule: ribosomal RNA, 429 nt
Filed under: Octomagelona sp. 465 PB
Lineage: Eukaryota; Metazoa; Annelida; Polychaeta; Spionida; Magelonidae
Description: partial 16S ribosomal RNA
Rfam family: Bacterial large subunit ribosomal RNA
Source: RNAcentral
GCAUAAUCACUUGCCCUAUAAUUGAGGGCUCGUAUGAAAGGCUCGACGUGGGCGCGACUGUCUCUCAAGCGACCAAGAAAUCAAGCUUUAGGUGAAGACGCCUAAAUACUAAUAAAAGACAAGAAGACCCUAUAAAGCUUUAUCAUUCAAGGCCGAUUACACCACUAUUAAAAUACGCCGCCUACGGCCCCAUAUGAUUUGGUUGGGGCGACCAAGGAACCAACAAAGCUUCCUAAAAUUUAAACGGGCCUCAACCCAACUACUUGACCCGGCAUACACGACAAACGAACCAAGCUACUUUAGGGAUAACAGCGUAAUCCUCUUUAAGAGCCCGUAUCUACAAGAGGGCUUGCGACCUCGAUGUUGGACUAGGACACCCAGAAGGCGCAGAAGCUUUCCACGGCGGGUCUGUUCGACCCUUAAAGCCCU